CGCCGGUUUUUUUUUUGGAAUUUUGUCCCUUUUUUGCACUCUGAUCCCGCCACAGCAUCCCACGAAGGGGACACGGGCAGCUCCUGUCCCAGGGUGGGGUGGGACACGGCAGGGGUGGGGAUUGUCCUGCCUUGGACAGGGGGAGAUCCCAAACUCGAUCCCAAAUCCGGGUCUGAAUUCCCUGGGAGGAGCUGCCUUACAGGGGAAUCAGACCCUUUUCCCAUAGGGAAAUCCUUCCAGGAGGAUCAGACCCUUUUUCCAUGGGGAAAUCUCAAUCCUGAAUCUGGAUCUGAACCCACCGAAAGGAGCAUCCUUCCAGAAGGAUCAGACCCUUUUUCCAUGGGGAAAUCCCAAUCCCAAAUCUGGAUCUGAACCCACUGAAAGGAGCUUCCCUACAGGGGGAUCAGACCCUUGUUCCAUGGGGAAAUCCCAAUCCCAAAUCCGGGUCUGAAUUCCCUGGGAGGAGCUUCCUUCCAGGGGGAUCAGACCCUUUUUCCAUGGGGAAAUCCCAAUCCCAAAUCCAGGCCUGAACCCCCUGGGAGGAGCUUCUUUCCAUGGGGAUCAGACCCUUUUUCCAUAGGGAAAUCCUUCCAGGAGGAUCAGACCCUUUUUCCAUGGGGAAAUCUCAAUCCUGACCCCAAAUACGGGUCUGAAUUCCCUGGGAUGAGCUGCCUUACAGGGGGAUCAGACCCUUUUAACAUGGAGAAAUCUCGAUCCCAAAUCCGGGUCUGAACCCCUUGGGAGGAGUAUCCUUCCAUGGGGAUCAGACCCUUUUUCCAUGGGGAAAUCCCAAUCCCAAAUUCGGGUCUGAACCCCCUGGGAGGAGCUUCCUUACAGGGGGAUCAGACCCUUUUAACAUGGGGAAAUCCCAAUCCCAAAUGGAGCUGAACCCACUGAAAGGAGCAUCCUUCCAGAAGGAUCAGACCCUUUUUCCAUGGAGAAAUCCUAUGGGAAUCAGAUCCUUUUUCCAUUGGGAAAUCCCAAUCCCAAAUCCAGGUCUGAACCCCUUGGGAGGAGCUUCUUUCCAUGGGGGGAUCAGACCAUUUCUCCAUGGGGAAAUCCCAAUCCCAAAUCCAGGCCUGAACCCACUGAAAGGAGCAUCCUUCCAGAAGGAUCAGACCCUUUUCCCAUGGAGAAAUCCCAAUCCCAAUCCCAAAUCCGGGUCUGAACCCCCUGGGAGGAUCAUCCUUACAGGGGGAUCAGAAUUAACAGGGGAGAAACCCUAAAAGAGAGAAACCCCCCUUGGGAUCAGAGGGAAAUCCCUGAGGAACAGAGGGAUCCCAAACCUUCCUCCCAAACCCCUGGAUCAGGGCAGGGUGGGGAAAAUCCCGGAGCUGUCACUCCCCGAGCUCAGACACCCCAAUGAAAACCCCAAACCCAAUCCCAGAGCCACGUCGGAAUUCCCUAAAAAUCCCAAAUCCCCCCCAAAAAUUCCCCAACUCAGCCCCUCGGGUGGUUGAGUUUGAGGAUUGAAGGGGCAGCUGAGCUUUUGGGGGGCUCACCCCGACCCUCUGCGUCGUUCCUGCAUGCAAAGACCAUUUUUUAAAAACAAAAAAACCCAAAAAAAUCCCAUAAAUUCACCAGCAUGAACUGUCAACCCCAAAGCCAUCAAUAAAAACUUUGCAGUGCCCGCA
Long non-coding RNA from Zonotrichia albicollis (white-throated sparrow), 1634 nucleotides. NCBI's taxonomy places the organism in Eukaryota, Metazoa, Chordata, Aves, Passeriformes, Passerellidae. The record is from Ensembl.